AGUAGUCAUAUGCUUGUCUCAAAGAUUAAGCCAUGCAUGUCUCAGUGCAAGCUAAAUUAAAGUGAAACCGCGAAUGGCUCAUUAAAUCAGUUAUGGUUCCUUGGAUCCUACAUAUCCUACUUGGACAACUGUGGUAAUUCUAGAGCUAAUACAUGCACCCAGAGCCCCGUCCAGAAAUGGUCGGGGCGCAGUUAUUAGAUCAAAACCAAUCGGUCGGGCUCGCCCGUCCGUAGUUUUGGUGACUCGGAAUAACCACGGCUGAUCGCACGGCCUCGCGCCGGCGACGUAUCCUUCGAAUGUCUGCCUUAUCAACUGUCGAUGGUAGGUUCUGCGCCUACCAUGGUUGUAACGGGUAACGGGGAAUCAGGGUUCGAUUCCGGAGAGGGAGCCUGAGAAACGGCUACCACAUCCAAGGAAGGCAGCAGGCGCGCAAAUUACCCACUCCCGGCACGGGGAGGUAGUGACGAAAAAUAACGAUACGGGACUCAUCCGAGGCCCCGUAAUCGGAAUGAGAACACUUUAAAUCUUUUAACGAGUACCUAAUGGAGGGCAAGUCUGGUGCCAGCAGCCGCGGUAAUUCCAGCUCCAUUGGCGUAUAUUAAAGU
RNAcentral lists this ribosomal RNA (605 nucleotides) under Cloeon smaeleni. Its description in RNAcentral is "SSU rRNA". It matches the Rfam family "Eukaryotic small subunit ribosomal RNA", at positions 19 to 610 of the family's 1831-position model. Lineage: Eukaryota; Metazoa; Arthropoda; Insecta; Ephemeroptera; Baetidae. The record is from RNAcentral.